GCACCCGUAGCUCAAUUGGAUAGAGUAGCGGACUUCGAAUCCGUUGGUUGUGAGUUCGAAUCUCGUCGGGUGCACCA
RNAcentral lists this transfer RNA (77 nucleotides) under Clostridia bacterium. Its description in RNAcentral is "tRNA-Arg". It matches the Rfam family "tRNA". From Rfam's summary of the family: Transfer RNA (tRNA) molecules are approximately 80 nucleotides in length. Their secondary structure includes four short double-helical elements and three loops (D, anti-codon, and T loops). Lineage: Bacteria; Bacillati; Bacillota; Clostridia. The record is from RNAcentral.